Molecule: ribosomal RNA, 459 nt
Filed under: uncultured bacterium
Lineage: Bacteria
Description: partial 16S ribosomal RNA
Rfam family: Bacterial small subunit ribosomal RNA
Source: RNAcentral
CUACGGGCGGCAGCAGUAAGGAAUAUUGGUCAAUGGACGAAAGUCUGAACCAGCCAUGCCGCGUGGAGGAUGAAGGUCCUCUGGAUUGUAAACUUCUUUUAUCUGGGAAGAAAUCCAUGGUUUCUACUAUGGUUGACGGUACCAGAUGAAUAAGCACCGGCUAACUCCGCGCCAGCAGCCGCGGUAAUACGGAGGGUGCAAGCGUUAUCCGGAUUCACUGGGUUUAAAGGGUGCGUAGGUGGGCAGGUAAGUCAGUGGUGAAAUCUCCGAGCUUAACUCGGAAACUGCCAUUGAUACUAUCUGUCUUGAAUACCCUGGAUGUGAGCGGAAUAUGUCAUGUAGCGGUGAAAUGCUUAGAUAUGACAUAGAACACCAAUUGCGAAGGCAGCUCACUACGGGAAUAUUGACACUGAGGCACGAAAGCGUGGGGAUCAAACAGGAUUAGAUACCCUAGUAGUC